Long non-coding RNA from Equus asinus (donkey), 1737 nucleotides. The record is from Ensembl. NCBI's taxonomy places the organism in Eukaryota, Metazoa, Chordata, Mammalia, Perissodactyla, Equidae.
CAUGAUUUUCACACUGCCCCUUGGCACCUGGACUCUGAGCUCUUCUGGGCUGCUGUACGUGAGAACUGGCUCAUGACUCAUGAGCAUCGUCCUCUGCAGGUGCAGAGAUUUCAGAGUUUCCACUCUGCUAGUGAAUUAGAAAUGAGGGUGCUGCUUAUCUCUUUCAAUUGUUGAGGAUGCUUUGAUAUUUCUGUCCCACAGCUAUUCUCCUCUCCAAAAAUUCUUUGUUACCUUGUUCUUUUACAAUUUUAAACACCCUUUUGGAGCUCUUUUCAAAGAGUUUUUUCAGGAAAGAAAUAACGAUGUCACAGGUGAAACAGGCUUAGUCUAAAGAGGAAGGAAGCUUGUCUCUCUAAUUACCUUCCCUGCAGACUCUUGGCCUGGAUGGAUGCAAUCAGCCUGGUCUUGACCGGUGCCUACCCUGCAGAACAGUGCAGGAACUACCGCCGGGUCACGUGGCAUCGCUGUCUGGGACACCGUGCUGUGGGUCACAGGGCCCUGUGCUCUUCUGCUUUUGUGACUCUGAUGUUUUCUUCAAGCACAAAGAUUUCGUUUCAGGAAAAAGGAUGGAGGAGUUAACACGGCAGACCAGAGGAGACGUUUCACCACAGGCUGUCCUCACCGUGUCAACAACACUGCCUCCAGCCUCCUCUCCGGUUUCAGUUCUCUCCUGCGGUUGAAUUGAAGUGGCUUCUAUGUGGUCUGCACCACAGCACAUUUUGAGUGGAUUCCUCGCUAAAAACGCUAUUUGGAAUCCUUGUGCUGAAACUCAAAAUCCCGAGAAAUGUGCCCAGAUUCAGAGUUUUCAGUCUUGCUGGCUGAGCUGUAGGAGACAGACAUUGAAUGUCAUGUUGCAGAGCUUGCUUUUUCAAAGGGAACUGUGAGCUGGGUUUCUCAAGUUCCAUUCUGUGACUGUGUCUCUGUUUUCAUUUUCAUGUGGAAGGGAUGAAUUGGAAUUUGGCAGAACUGAGGUGUCAGUACGAGCAGCUGGAGCCCAGGAGAGAACCCAGUGGUGGAGAGUGGCCAUGGAGGAACACUUUAAAGAAGCAGGAUCAACUUCGUGUGUAAUGAAGGUUAUCGAUUUAAUACAAAUUUGAAUAUGAAAAAUUAAAGAAUUGGAAUUGGGGUCACUGAGAAGCUGACAGUGAGAUGAUGUCAAGCACGUAAACUAAAUGGACAUGUUAGAGUGAGGACUGGUGUGGACACCACGAAUGAGCUGGCCGACCCCUGCUCUAAAUGAGAGAGAACCAGGACAGCGAGAAAGGAGAGGAGGAAAUGGAGCAGGUGGUUAGGGCCAUCCAGGGCAUAACGGGAGAAAUGAACACAUUGCAUGAAAUAAGGUAAGUGGUUCUUGAGGAGAAUCAGCUUCAUGGACAUUCUGCCUUGACCAGCCUGAGAAGUUGAAAGACCCAAGCCUAAAGAAAGUGAAUUUGCUUCUCUUCCUGCCCAAACUCGUGUCAACAACUGUGGAACAACAGCAGCAAUGACAACAGCAACACAUGCACACGCACACACGAAAGAUGAGACUUCUGCCUUUUGCUUCCAAGCUGUUCAUAUGGUGAUCAUUUAGCCAUUUCUUCCAUAAACUUCCUUUUAUCCUGUGGCUGAACUGACUGGCUUCACUUCGAGAUCAGGGACAUGGUGGUGUAUUGAGGACCCACACAGAAACUGGGUUCUUGUGGACUCUGUUGGAGCUCUCAUCUCAACCUGACAACCUGGAGAUGGGCAAAGUACAGG